Molecule: ribosomal RNA, 1298 nt
Filed under: Bryoria nadvornikiana
Lineage: Eukaryota; Fungi; Ascomycota; Lecanoromycetes; Lecanorales; Parmeliaceae
Description: eukaryotic LSU rRNA
Rfam family: Eukaryotic large subunit ribosomal RNA
Source: RNAcentral
GUAACGGCGAGUGAAGCGGCAACAGCUCAAAUUUGAAAUCUGGCCCUUUCAGGGUCCGAGUUGUAAUUUGUAGAGAGUGUUUCGGGUGAGAUCACGGUCUAAGUCCAUUGGAACAUGGCGUCAUAGAGGGUGAGAAUCCCGUAUGUGACUGUGGAUCGAGCCCAUGUGAAGCCUCUUCGACGAGUCGAGUUGUUUGGGAAUGCAGCUCAAAAUGGGUGGUAAAUUUCAUCUAAAGCUAAAUACUGGCUGGAGACCGAUAGCGCACAAGUAGAGUGAUCGAAAGAUGAAAAGCACUUUGGAAAGAGAGUCAAACAGUACGUGAAAUUGUUGAAAGGGAAGCGCUUGCAACCAGACCUGUCCGUAGGUGAUCAGCCGCUGUUCUCAGUGGUGCACUCGCUCUACGAUCAGGCCAGCAUCGGUUCCGGCGGUCGGAUAAAGGCCUUGGGAAUGUAGCUUCCUCCGGGGAGUCUUAUAGCCCUCGGUGCAAUGCGGCCAGCCGGGACCGAGGACCGCGCUUCGGCUAGGAUGCUGGCGUAAUGGUUGUAAGCGACCCGUCUUGAAACACGGACCAAGGAGUCUAACAUCUAUGCGAGUGUUUGGGUGUCAAACCCAUGCGCGGAAUGAAAGUGAACGGAGGUGAGAACCCUUAAGGGCGCAUCAUCGACCGAUCCAGAUGUCUUCGGAUGGAUUUGAGUAUGAGCAUGGCUGUUGGGACCCGAAAGAUGGUGAACUAUGCCUGAAUAGGGUGAAGCCAGAGGAAACUCUGGUGGAGGCUCGCAGCGGUUCUGACGUGCAAAUCGAUCGUCAAAUUUGGGUAUAGGGGCGAAAGACUAAUCGAACCAUAUAGUAGCUGGUUCCUGCCGAAGUUUCCCUCAGGAUAGCAGUAACGUUUUCAGUUUUAUGAGGUAAAGCGAAUGAUUAGAGGCCUUGGGGUUGAAACAACCUUAACCUAUUCUCAAACUUUAAAUAUGUAAGAAGUCCUUGUUACUUAGUUGAACGUGGACAUUUGAAUGCACCGUUACUAGUGGGCCAUUUUUGGUAAGCAGAACUGGCGAUGCGGGAUGAACCGAACGCGAGGUUAAGGUGCCGGAAUGUACGCUCAUCAGACACCACAAAAGGUGUUGAUUCAUCUAGACAGCCGGACGGUGGCCAUGGAAGUCGGAAACCGCUAAGGAGUGUGUAACAACUCACCGGCCGAAUGAAUCAGCCCUGAAAAUGGAUGGCGCUCAAGCGUGCUACCCAUACCUCGCCGCCAGGGUAGAAACGAUGCCCUGGCGAGUAGGCAGGCGUGGGGGUCA